RNAcentral lists this small nuclear RNA (160 nucleotides) under Gossypium hirsutum (cotton). Its description in RNAcentral is "U1 spliceosomal RNA". It matches the Rfam family "U1 spliceosomal RNA". Rfam says of the family: U1 is a small nuclear RNA (snRNA) component of the spliceosome (involved in pre-mRNA splicing). Its 5' end forms complementary base pairs with the 5' splice junction, thus defining the 5' donor site of an intron. There are significant differences in sequence and secondary structure between metazoan and yeast U1 snRNAs, the latter being much longer (568 nucleotides as compared to 164 nucleotides in human). The record is from Rfam by way of RNAcentral. Lineage: Eukaryota; Viridiplantae; Streptophyta; Magnoliopsida; Malvales; Malvaceae.
AUACUUACCUGGACGGGGUCAAUCAGUGAUCGGAAAGACUCAUGGCCUAGAGCAGUGACCUCCAUUGCACUUGGGAGGGGUGCUGCUUUAAGGUCUCCCCAAGAGGGAGAGCUACGUCAUAAUUUGUGGCAGUGGGGGCUUGCGUUCGCGCAGCCCCUAU